GAACGGUAAGGCUCCAGCUUGCUGGGGUACACGAGUGGCGAACGGGUGAGUAACACGUGGGUGACCUGCCCUGCACUUCGGGAUAAGCCUGGGAAACUGGGUCUAAUACCGGAUAGGACCGCACCGUGAGGGUGUGGUGGAAAGUUUUUUCGGUGUGGGAUGGGCCCGCGGCCUAUCAGCUUGUUGGUGGGGUAAUGGCCUACCAAGGCGGCGACGGGUAGCCGGCCUGAGAGGGUGGACGGCCACAUUGGGACUGAGACACGGCCCAGACUCCUACGGGAGGCAGCAGUGGGGAAUAUUGCACAAUGGGCGGAAGCCUGAUGCAGCGACGCCGCGUGGGGGAUGACGGCCUUCGGGUUGUAAACUCCUUUCACCAUCGACGAAGGGUUUCUGACGGUAGAUGGAGAAGAAGCACCGGCUAACUACGUGCCAGCAGCCGCGGUAAUACGUAGGGUGCGAGCGUUGUCCGGAAUUACUGGGCGUAAAGAGCUCGUAGGUGGUUUGUCGCGUCGUCUGUGAAAUUCCGGGGCUUAACUCCGGGCGUGCAGGCGAUACGGGCAUAACUUGAGUACUGUAGGGGAGACUGGAAUUCCUGGUGUAGCGGUGAAAUGCGCAGAUAUCAGGAGGAACACCGGUGGCGAAGGCGGGUCUCUGGGCAGUAACUGACGCUGAGGAGCGAAAGCAUGGGGAGCGAACAGGAUUAGAUACCCUGGUAGUCCAUGCCGUAAACGGUGGGCGCUAGGUGUGGGUUUCCUUCCACGGGAUCCGUGCCGUAGCUAACGCAUUAAGCGCCCCGCCUGGGGAGUACGGCCGCAAGGCUAAAACUCAAAGGAAUUGACGGGGGCCCGCACAAGCGGCGGAGCAUGUGGAUUAAUUCGAUGCAACGCGAAGAACCUUACCUGGGCUUGACAUAUACAGGAUCGCGCCAGAGAUGGUGUUUCCCUUGUGGCUUGUAUACAGGUGGUGCAUGGUUGUCGUCAGCUCGUGUCGUGAGAUGUUGGGUUAAGUCCCGCAACGAGCGCAACCCUUGUCUUAUGUUGCCAGCACGUUGUGGUGGGGACUCGUAAGAAACUGCCGGGGUUAACUCGGAGGAAGGUGGGGAUGACGUCAAAUCAUCAUGCCCCUUAUGUCCAGGGCUUCACACAUGCUACAAUGGUCGGUACAGUGGGUUGCCAGUCCGUGAGGGCGAGCUAAUCCCGCAAAGCCGGUCUCAGUUCGGAUCGGGGUCUGCAACUCGACCCCGUGAAGUCGGAGUCGCUAGUAAUCGCAGAUCAGCAAC
This 1279-nucleotide ribosomal RNA is filed under the name Corynebacterium sp. 02-Gi-019. Its description in RNAcentral is "partial 16S ribosomal RNA". It matches the Rfam family "Bacterial small subunit ribosomal RNA", at positions 64 to 1356 of the family's 1533-position model. The record is from RNAcentral. Lineage: Bacteria; Bacillati; Actinomycetota; Actinomycetes; Mycobacteriales; Corynebacteriaceae.